Molecule: long non-coding RNA, 1153 nt
Filed under: Sus scrofa (pig)
Lineage: Eukaryota; Metazoa; Chordata; Mammalia; Artiodactyla; Suidae
Description: lncRNA (ENSSSCG00015036247.1)
Source: RNAcentral
UGUGGCUUGGCUCUGGUGUGGCUGUGGCUGUGGCCUAGGCCAGCAGCUGCAGUUCUGAUUCAGCCCCUAGUCUGGGAACUUCCUUAUGCUGCAGGGGCGGCCCUAAAAAGAAACACAGAACGUGUUCACGGGGCCCUCUUCCCAUCUUCUCCAGGGACAUUGGAGCCAGGAAGGCUCCAAUCAGCACAUGCAAAUCCUGAAUGGAUCAGGAGAUAGACCUUGGGACCUGGCCCUGGGCUUGGGGCCAGAUGGGGCCCUCAGCCAGGUGCUGAAAUAAAGAGCAGGACCCAGGGGUGAGGAAGUUUGUGCAGGCGGAGCCCAGUAGGACAGGACCCCUCAUGGAUGCCCGUGCCCAGGGCCUCUGAGGCCAGGGGAGAGCUGCUUCUCCUGGGGCAGCCGGGGCAGACACUGAUGGUGUCUACACAGCAAACAUUGCUCAGUUUUCCCUUCCUAACAGAAACCGAGUUUUGUGUGAGUGGUUGUGGUCCAGCCCUGGGGCUGGAGGCUGCAUGGAGUGAGGAAGAUUAAGUUUGGGUUAACGCAGUGCAGCAUUCUCUUGUCGGUGAAUGCAGUUCUUCAUUGACUGGCCUGCCUUUAUUUCACUUCCAAUUUUCUUCCUCUUNCCGCCCCCCCAUUCCAGGACUCACCGAAGCACAGGAGGGUGGUGGGAUGGGGGGCCAUGGCCCAGCCCCUGCAGCCGGUGCCCGUCCUGGAGAGAUUAUGGGGGAAGGACAGAGCCUGCCUGAUGACACAAGAGAAGAGGAUGUGCUGCCCGGGGGCCCAACUUGGGGUUUCCACACUCAGCGCCUCACACAAAGGGGAAGAGCUUGUGCCCUCCUCUCCCGGCUUCCCGCGCAGGAGACAGAGGCAGGGCCGCACUUCCAGCAGAUGCUCCAAUGCUCAGGACACCCCAAGAAGGGCAGUCAGCCACAAGCCAGGAGGAGACGGUGCCCCCCUGCCCUCGGUCUUGGAACCUGUUUGUUCCUGGUGGGUCUUGGACUGAAGAGCAUCAGCCUCGGCCAUCAUUUGAGGCUGAAGAAGGGAUGCAGGGAUUGUUGGUGGACAGAGAGGAGAAGGAGGAAGGGGACUCCCCAAGGAUUCCCAUGAGAUGAAGAGAUACCCGCUGAGUGUCUGGCACCACAUGGGAAGCUGA